Molecule: non-coding RNA, 92 nt
Organism: Mycena polygramma
Lineage: Eukaryota; Fungi; Basidiomycota; Agaricomycetes; Agaricales; Mycenaceae
Source: the annotation of a GenBank genome assembly
GGCUCGGUGGUAGAGGGUCCACACUCACAUCUGUUAUAAACUCCAUAGUGCAGUUUCUGCGAGAGACGCCCGUUCGACUCGGGUCCGAGCUA